This 33-nucleotide ribosomal RNA is filed under the name Phoma sp. UM 186. Its description in RNAcentral is "partial 18S ribosomal RNA". Lineage: Eukaryota; Fungi; Ascomycota; Dothideomycetes; Pleosporales; Didymellaceae. The record is from RNAcentral.
CUUCCGUAAGGGGAACCUGCGGAAGGAUCAUUA